RNAcentral lists this ribosomal RNA (469 nucleotides) under Pavlova sp. CCMP459. Its description in RNAcentral is "partial Bacterial large subunit ribosomal RNA". It matches the Rfam family "Bacterial large subunit ribosomal RNA", at positions 1383 to 1746 of the family's 2925-position model. Lineage: Eukaryota; Haptophyta; Pavlovophyceae; Pavlovales; Pavlovaceae. The record is from RNAcentral.
GUCGGGUCCUAAGGCGAGGCCGACAGGCGUAGUCGAUGGGUAACCAGUUGAUAUUCUGGUACCGGCUUGUCACCGUCCGUGUCGAGGUGUGUGAUGCUAAGCAUGUGAGCUUGUCUUGGGAGUGUUUUUGAUGCUUCUGGGGUGGGUGAGUGUGUGAACCGAUCAUGUAGUAGGCAAGCUGCGGAGGGACGCAGUGAGGUAGCUCAUCCCCGGUGAUGGUUGUCCGGGGCUAAGUGUGUGGACUGUCUGGUAGGUAAAUCCGCUGGGCGUGAAGGUUGAGGCAUGAUGGGGAGCCCACGGUUGUGGGUGAGUGAGUGAUCCUGUACUGUCGAGAAAAGCUUCGUGAGCGAGGUGGCGGGUCCGCCCGUACCCUAAACCGACACUGGUGGAUAGGUAGAGUAUACCGAGGCGAUCGAGUGAAUCGUGGUGAAGGAACUCGGCAAAAUGCCCCCGUAACUUUGGGAUAAGG